RNAcentral lists this ribosomal RNA (421 nucleotides) under Bacillus sp. NASAb10. RNAcentral describes it as "bacterial SSU rRNA". It matches the Rfam family "Bacterial small subunit ribosomal RNA", at positions 370 to 784 of the family's 1533-position model. The record is from RNAcentral. Lineage: Bacteria; Bacillati; Bacillota; Bacilli; Caryophanales; Bacillaceae.
AAUGGACGAAAGUCUGACGGACACGCCGCGUGAGUGAUGAAGGUUUUCGGAUCGUAAAGCUCUGUUGUUAGGGAAGAACAAGUACCGUUCGAAUAGGGCGGUACCUUGACGGUACCUAACCAGAAAGCCACGGCUAACUACGUGCCAGCAGCCGCGGUAAUACGUAGGUGGCAAGCGUUGUCCGGAAUUAUUGGGCGUAAAGGGCUCGCAGGCGGUUUCUUAAGUCUGAUGUGAAAGCCCCCGGCUCAACCGGGGAGGGUCAUUGGAAACUGGGGAACUUGAGUGCAGAAGAGGAGAGUGGAAUUCCACGUGUAGCGGUGAAAUGCGUAGAGAUGUGGAGGAACACCAGUGGCGAAGGCGACUCUCUGGUCUGUAACUGACGCUNAGGAGCGAAAGCGUGGGGAGCGAACAGGAUUAGAUA